GCCUCUGUAGCUCAGUUGGUUAGAGCACUGCACCGGAAUCGCAGGGCCGUAGGUUCAAAUUCCCACCAGAGGAC
Paramuricea clavata is the source of this 74-nucleotide non-coding RNA. Lineage: Eukaryota; Metazoa; Cnidaria; Anthozoa; Malacalcyonacea; Plexauridae. The record is from the annotation of a GenBank genome assembly.